This 253-nucleotide ribosomal RNA is filed under the name uncultured bacterium. RNAcentral's name for it is "partial 16S ribosomal RNA". It matches the Rfam family "Bacterial small subunit ribosomal RNA", at positions 524 to 776 of the family's 1533-position model. The record is from RNAcentral.
UACGUAGGGUGCAAGCGUUAAUCGGAAUUACUGGGCGUAAAGCGUGCGUAGACGGUUAUGUAAGUCGGGUGUGAAAGCCCCGGGCUCAACCUGGGAAUUGCAUUCGAGACUGCAUAGCUAGGGUGCGGAAGAGGGAAGCGGAAUUUCCGGUGUAGCGGUGAAAUGCGUAGAUAUCGGAAGGAACACCAGUGGCGAAAGCGGCUCCCUGGUCCAGCACCGACGUUCAGGCACGAAAGCGUGGGGAGCAAACAGG